RNAcentral lists this transfer-messenger RNA (416 nucleotides) under Patescibacteria group. RNAcentral describes it as "UM-FILTER-53-11 sp002788775 Standard tmRNA". It matches the Rfam family "transfer-messenger RNA". From Rfam's summary of the family: Bacterial tmRNA, also known as 10Sa RNA or SsrA, is named for its dual tRNA and mRNA-like properties. RNAcentral also lists the same sequence under 1 other name. The record is from RNAcentral.
GGGGAUGUUCCGGCAUUCGACAGGGAUCUUUAAAAGACAUGGCUUUGCGUUCACGGCGUCGUGCUGUCCGCCGUUAUCCGUCCAGUGCACAAUAAAUGCAGAUAAUGCAGGAGAGUUGGAGGCUGUAGCAGCUCUGCGCACACCAGUGCCAGCGUUUGCUUAGUUUUCACUCGCUACCUCCCCACAUUUUGUAGGGGACGUCGGCCCGGUUGAGUCCUCAUAGAUCGGGUCGGCGCAACUUUUGAGGAUCGGAAGGGUCGGCUCGCCACCGGCACAACCUAAACAAUCGGCGUACGCCGGAGUGGUUUUCCGUUCAACUUCUAUCGCUCCGGUCGACAACUCAAGCUGAACUACUGAACGUAGACGGGCCAUCUCUUUGUCCUUGGACGGGGGUUCGACUCCCCCCAUCUCCACCA